UACAGAGGUCUCAAGCGUUGUUCGGAUUCAUUGGGCGUAAAGGGUGCGUAGGUGGCGCCGUAAGUCAGGUGUGAAAUCUCGGGGCUCAACCUGGGAACUGCAUCCGAAACUGCCUUGCUAGAGUAUGGGAGAGGGAAGUGGAAUUUCCGGUGUAGCGGUGAAAUGCGUAGAUAUCGGAAGGAACAUCAGUGGCGAAGGCGACUUCCUGGACCAAUACUGACGCUCAGGUGCGAAAGCGUGGGGAGCAAACAGG
This 253-nucleotide ribosomal RNA is filed under the name uncultured bacterium. RNAcentral's name for it is "partial 16S ribosomal RNA". It matches the Rfam family "Bacterial small subunit ribosomal RNA", at positions 524 to 776 of the family's 1533-position model. The record is from RNAcentral.